GAACUUUGACGGCGAUUCUUCCAUAGUACGAGAGGAUUUGGAAGGACCGACCCCUGGUUUACCAGUUGUCCUGCUAAGGGCACGGCUGGAUAGCCAUGUCGGGAACGGAUAAACGCUGAAAGCAUCUAAGCGUGAAGCCAACGCCAAAACGAGAGUUCCGUGCGAGCUUGCUCGCGAGAGACCCCGGGUAGACCACCCGGUUGAUAGGCCGGAGCUGUACGGGCUGAGAGGCCUUCAGGUCACCGGUACUAACGGUCGACAGCUUG
This 266-nucleotide ribosomal RNA is filed under the name uncultured Dinobryon. RNAcentral describes it as "partial Bacterial large subunit ribosomal RNA". It matches the Rfam family "Bacterial large subunit ribosomal RNA", at positions 2657 to 2925 of the family's 2925-position model. The record is from RNAcentral. Lineage: Eukaryota; Chrysophyceae; Chromulinales.